This 458-nucleotide ribosomal RNA is filed under the name uncultured bacterium. RNAcentral's name for it is "partial 16S ribosomal RNA". It matches the Rfam family "Bacterial small subunit ribosomal RNA", at positions 338 to 795 of the family's 1533-position model. The record is from RNAcentral.
CCUACGGGGGGCAGCAGUGAGGAAUAUUGGUCAAUGGGCGAGAGCCUGAACCAGCCAAGCCGCGUGAGGGAGUACUGCCCUCUGGGUUGUAAACCUCUUUUGUCGGGGAGCAAAAGCCGGACGUGUCCGGCUGUGAGAGUACCCGAAGCAAAAGCAUCGGCUAACGCCGUCCCAGCAGCCGCGGUAAUACGGGGGCUGCGAGCGGUAUCCGGAUUUAGUGGGUUUAAGGGGUGAGCAGGCGGAUUUUUAAGUCAGCGGUAAAAGCGUGGGGCUCAACCCCAUCCAGCCGUUGAAACUGGGGAUCUAGAGUGUGCGAGAGGUAUGCGGAAUGCGUGGUGUAGCGGUGAAAUGCAUAGAUAUCACGCAGAACCCCGAUUGCGAAGGCAGCAUACCGGUGCACAACUGACGCUCAGGCACGAAAGCGUGGGUAUCGAACAGGAUUAGAUACCCGUGUAGUC